GAUGAACGCUGGCGGCGUGCCUAAUACAUGCAAGUCGAGCGAACAGAUGAGGAGCUUGCUCCUCUGACGUUAGCGGCGGACGGGUGAGUAACACGUGGAUAACCUACCUAUAAGACUGGGAUAACUUCGGGAAACCGGAGCUAAUACCGGAUAAUAUAGUGAACCGCAUGGUUCAAUAGUGAAAGACGGUUUUGCUGUCACUUAUAGAUGGAUCCGCGCCGCAUUAGCUAGUUGGUAAGGUAACGGCUUACCAAGGCAACGAUGCGUAGCCGACCUGAGAGGGUGAUCGGCCACACUGAAACUGAGACACGGUCCAGACUCCUACGGGAGGCAGCAGUAGGGAAUCUUCCGCAAUGGGCGAAAGCCUGACGGAGCAACGCCGCGUGAGUGAUGAAGGUCUUCGGAUCGUAAAACUCUGUUAUUAGGGAAGAACAAAUGUGUAAGUAACUAUGCACGUCUUGACGGUACCUAAUCAGAAAGCCACGGCUAACUACGUG
Molecule: ribosomal RNA, 497 nt
Filed under: uncultured bacterium
Lineage: Bacteria
Description: partial 16S ribosomal RNA
Rfam family: Bacterial small subunit ribosomal RNA
Source: RNAcentral